RNAcentral lists this ribosomal RNA (253 nucleotides) under uncultured bacterium. Its description in RNAcentral is "partial 16S ribosomal RNA". It matches the Rfam family "Bacterial small subunit ribosomal RNA", at positions 524 to 776 of the family's 1533-position model. The record is from RNAcentral.
UACAGAGGUCUCAAGCGUUGUUCGGAUUCAUUGGGCGUAAAGGGUGCGUAGGCGGCGGCGUAAGUCGGAUGUGAAAUCCCAGGGCUCAACCCUGGAACUGCAUUCGAUACUGCGUCGCUGGAGGACUGGAGAGGAGACUGGAAUUCACGGUGUAGCAGUGAAAUGCGUAGAUAUCGUGAGGAAGGCCAGUGGCGAAGGCGAGUCUCUGGACAGUUCCUGACGCUGAGGCACGAAGGCCAGGGGAGCAAACGGG